UAAAUAAAAACUGUUUUUCGGGAACGAAUGUUUACUCAAGAGCAGUUUUCCUUAUUUUGACGUCUUCCAAACCAGACGAAACUGAAUGCUGCGGAUGAUUCUGCUUCUUUUAAUUUUAACUAUUAGCGAAAGAUGGCAGCACUAUUAGAGCAUCCGGAAGACGUUGAACGUGUGUAAAAUGGAGUUUCGAAUAGCAGAAGUAAAAGUUUAUAUACGCCUUUAACGACGGGUGAGUUGUAACGGGAAAAUGGAAUGAGAAAAUACACGUGUGAAAAUGAAUCUAAACGGAUACCAGUAGAGAUAGAUAGAGAUAUCUAAAAUGAAGCACAAAAUAGUAAAA
Molecule: long non-coding RNA, 340 nt
Organism: Centruroides sculpturatus (bark scorpion)
Lineage: Eukaryota; Metazoa; Arthropoda; Arachnida; Scorpiones; Buthidae
Exons: 2
Source: RefSeq, a predicted model, not a curated record